RNAcentral lists this ribosomal RNA (424 nucleotides) under Libanasidus vittatus (king cricket). RNAcentral describes it as "partial 16S ribosomal RNA". The stretch from base 1 to 211 matches the Rfam family "Archaeal large subunit ribosomal RNA", at positions 1888 to 2143 of the family's 2987-position model. Lineage: Eukaryota; Metazoa; Arthropoda; Insecta; Orthoptera; Anostostomatidae. The record is from RNAcentral.
UCGCCUGUUUAAACAAAAACAUGGUUUUAGAGUUGAGGUUGUAAAAUUUGGCCUGCCCACUGAGAUAUCAUUAAAGGGCCGCGGUAUUUUGACCGUGCAAAGGUAGCAUAAUCAUUAGUCUUUUAAUUGAAGGCUGGAAUGAACGGUUUCACGAGGUAUUAACUGUCUCUUGAUAAGAAUUUGAAGUUAACUUUUUAGUAAAAAGGCUAAAAUGAAAUUGGAGGACGAGAAGACCCUAUAGAGCUUUAUAUUAAUUUUUAAUUUUAAAUUUGUAGAAGUUGUUUAUAACUAUAAUUAUUAAUAUUUGAUUGGGGUGAUUUGAAGAUUUAAUAAACUCUUUAUGAUUAAUAACAUAAAUGAAUGGGUGAUUGAUCCAUUUUUAGUGAUUAUAAGAUUAAGUUACCUUAGGGAUAACAGCGUAAUU